GACGAACGCUGGCGGCGUGCUUAACACAUGCCAGUCGAACGGAAAGGCCCUGCUUUUGUGGGGUGCUCGAGUGGCGAACGGGUGAGUAACACGUGAGUAACCUGCCCUUGACUUUGGGGUAACUUCAGGAAACUGGGGCUAAUACCGGAUAGGAGCUCCUGCUGCAUGGUGGGGGUUGGAAAGUUUCGGCGGUUGGGGAUGGACUCGCGGCUUAUCAGCUUGUUGGUGGGGUAGUGGCUUACCAAGGCUUUGACGGGUAGCCGGCCUGAGAGGGUGACCGGCCACAUUGGGACUGAGAUAGGGCCCAGACUCCUACGGGAGGCAGCAGUGGGGAAUAUUGCACAAUGGGCGGAAGCCUGAUGCAGCAACGCCGCGUGCGGGAUGACGGCCUUCGGGUUGUAAACCGCUUUCGCCUGUGACGAAGCGUGAGUGACGGUAAUGGGUAAAGAAGCACCGGCUAACUACGUG
RNAcentral lists this ribosomal RNA (468 nucleotides) under uncultured bacterium. RNAcentral describes it as "partial 16S ribosomal RNA". It matches the Rfam family "Bacterial small subunit ribosomal RNA", at positions 28 to 507 of the family's 1533-position model. The record is from RNAcentral.